UUGUUGGUAUCGUAGGGGGUAAUUUUCGAAGAGUAUUGCGCAGCGGAAAUAAUACUCAGAGAGCGUAAAGCGUAUUAGGUCACAGUUAAAAUGAUUUUAGCCCUUUUUAGCAAAAAUAAUUUUCUUUCAGAAAAUUAGCCAAACAGUUGAUGUGCGUUAAAUAAAAUGAGUGUAGGGAAUAGAAAAAUCACACAAGUAUUUUUAUACUGGUUCGAUUCAACAGAGUCUACGUCCAG
Molecule: long non-coding RNA, 236 nt
Filed under: Vigna radiata
Lineage: Eukaryota; Viridiplantae; Streptophyta; Magnoliopsida; Fabales; Fabaceae
Description: long non-coding RNA (VRAD_LNC004630)
Source: RNAcentral